GACGAACGCUGGCGGCGGGCUUAACACAUGCAAGUCGAGCGGAAAGGCCCUGAUUUUGUGGGGUGCUCGAGGGGCGAACGGGUGAGUAACACGUGAGUAACCUGCCCUUGACUUUGGGAUAACUUCAGGAAACUGGGGCUAAUACCGGAUAGGAGCUCCUGUUGCAUGGAGGGGGUGGGAAAGUUGCGGCGGGUGGGGAUGGACUCGCGGCUAAUGAGCUUGUUGGUGGGGUAGUGGCUUGCCAAGGCUUUGGCGGGUAGCCGGCCUGGGAGGGUGACCGGCGACCUUGGGCCUGCGAUAGGGCCCAGACUCCUACGGGAGGCAGCAGUGGCGAAUAUUGCACAAUGGGCCGAAGCCUGAUGCAGAAACGCCGCGGUCGGGAUGCCGUCCUUCGGGUUGUAAACCGCUUUCGCCUGUGACGAAGCGGGUGUGACGGUACUGGGUAAAGAAGCACCGGCUAACUACGUG
RNAcentral lists this ribosomal RNA (468 nucleotides) under uncultured bacterium. Its description in RNAcentral is "partial 16S ribosomal RNA". It matches the Rfam family "Bacterial small subunit ribosomal RNA", at positions 28 to 507 of the family's 1533-position model. The record is from RNAcentral.